RNAcentral lists this ribosomal RNA (440 nucleotides) under uncultured bacterium. RNAcentral's name for it is "bacterial SSU rRNA". It matches the Rfam family "Bacterial small subunit ribosomal RNA", at positions 28 to 445 of the family's 1533-position model. The record is from RNAcentral.
GAUGAACGCUGGCGGCGUGCUUAACACAUGCAAGUCGAACGAAGCACUUAUGAUUGAGAUUUCGGUUGAUUGAUUAAGUGACUUAGUGGCGAACGGGUGAGUAACGCGUGAGGAACCUGCCUUCCAGUGGGGGACAACAGUUGGAAACGACUGCUAAUACCGCAUAACGCAGCUAGAUCGCAUGAUCUUACUGCCAAAGCUUUAUGUGCUGGAAGAUGGCCUCGCGUCUGAUUAGCUAGUUGGUGGGUAACGGCCCACCAAGGCGACGAUCAGUAGCCGGUCUGAGAGGAUGAACGGCCACAUUGGGACUGAGAUACGGCCCAGACUCCCACGGGAGCAGCAGCUAAGAAUAAUUCCGCCAAAUGGGGGGAAAACCCGUGACGGAGCGACGCCGCGUGGAUGAUGAAGGCCGGAAGGUUGUAAAGUACCUUUUGGGUCGC